AGUGGCGAACGGGUGAGUAACACGUGAGUAACCUGCCCUUGACUCUGGGAUAACUGCUAGAAAUGGUAGCUAAUACCGGAUACGACCCUCGGCGGCAUCGCCAGGGGGUGGAAAGAAUUUCGGUCAAGGAUGGACUCGCGGCCUAUCAGCUAGUUGGUGAGGUAACGGCUCACCAAGGCGACGACGGGUAGCCGGCCUGAGAGGGUGACCGGCCACACUGGGACUGAGACACGGCCCAGACUCCUACGGGAGGCAGCAGUGGGGAAUAUUGCACAAUGGGCGCAAGCCUGAUGCAGCAACGCCGCGUGAGGGAUGACGGCCUUCGGGUUGUAAACCUCUUUUAGUAGGGAAGAAGCGAAAGUGACGGUACCUGCGGAAAAAGCACCGGCUAACUACGUGCCAGCAGCCGCGGUAAUACGUAGGGUGCAAGCGUUGUCCGGAAUUAUUGGGCGUAAAGAGCUCGUAGGCGGUUUGUCGCGUCUGCUGUGAAAUCCCGAGGCUCAACCUCGGGCCUGCAGUGGGUACGGGCAAACUAGAGUGUGGUAGGGGAGAUUGGAACUCCUGGUGUAGCGGUGGAAUGCGCAGAUAUCAGGAAGAACACCGAUGGCGAAGGCAGAUCUCUGGGCCAUUACUGACGCUGAGGAGCGAAAGCGUGGGGAGCGAACAGGAUUAGAUACCCUGGUAGUCCACGCCGUAAACG
RNAcentral lists this ribosomal RNA (700 nucleotides) under uncultured Actinomycetes bacterium. RNAcentral's name for it is "bacterial SSU rRNA". It matches the Rfam family "Bacterial small subunit ribosomal RNA", at positions 94 to 808 of the family's 1533-position model. Lineage: Bacteria; Bacillati; Actinomycetota; Actinomycetes. The record is from RNAcentral.